GCUGAACCCCGUGCUGAACCAUGGGUCUUCUGGCCUCCCCUCCUGGAGGGGAAGCCUUAUUAUAGUUUGCACAACAGCAUUUUAUAAUUCAUACAAAAGCUAGCCUUUGCCCUCGUCGCCAUUCUGAUUACAUGCUGUGCCUCGGCAAAAAUGAAGAGUGAGGGGAAGCUGGAAAGAUGGGCAACAUCCAGGCCAUGUGGGGCUUUGGGAGCCAUAGUGAGGAGCUUGGGCUUUUUCCUAAGUGCUGUGGAGAGUUAAGAAAGGGUUUUCAGUAGAAGUGACAUAGUUGGAUAUAUGUCUUGGAAAGGCCUCUGGAUGCAGAGUGGAGAAAGCUCCAUUUUUCUAUUUCACAUUCACCCUCUGAAGGAAGUUCUUCUAUGGAUUUCUAGAUUGCACACCCAUUAUCUCCCAUCUCCUGCUUCCUGUGAUGUACACAUGGUUGGAUCAGUGACCUUCUCGCAGGGCCCAGGGCGACUGAGGUCCCCAGGGCCUGCCUCUGGAGCUAUUCCCAGCCCAUGUGCGGGCUGGGGCAUUGUAGGAACUGAA
Molecule: long non-coding RNA, 546 nt
Filed under: Homo sapiens (human)
Lineage: Eukaryota; Metazoa; Chordata; Mammalia; Primates; Hominidae
Description: non-protein coding lnc-TNR-5:1
Source: RNAcentral